UUCAAGUUAGCUCACGUUGGUAGAGCAAUCGACUAUUAAUCGAUGGGUCGCAAGUUCGAUUCUUGCAUUUGAAACCA
RNAcentral lists this transfer RNA (77 nucleotides) under Rickettsiales bacterium. RNAcentral describes it as "tRNA-Asn". It matches the Rfam family "tRNA". From Rfam's summary of the family: Transfer RNA (tRNA) molecules are approximately 80 nucleotides in length. Their secondary structure includes four short double-helical elements and three loops (D, anti-codon, and T loops). The record is from RNAcentral. Lineage: Bacteria; Pseudomonadati; Pseudomonadota; Alphaproteobacteria; Rickettsiales.